RNAcentral lists this ribosomal RNA (482 nucleotides) under uncultured Flavobacteriaceae bacterium. RNAcentral describes it as "bacterial SSU rRNA". It matches the Rfam family "Bacterial small subunit ribosomal RNA", at positions 28 to 505 of the family's 1533-position model. Lineage: Bacteria; Pseudomonadati; Bacteroidota; Flavobacteriia; Flavobacteriales; Flavobacteriaceae. The record is from RNAcentral.
GAUGAACGCUAGCGGCAGGCCUAACACAUGCAAGUCGAGGGGUAACAUUGGUGCUUGCACCAGAUGACGACCGGCGCACGGGUGCGGAACGCGUAUGGAACCUACCUUUGUCAGGGGAAUAGCCCAGAGAAAUUUGGAUUAAUGCCCCAUGGUAACAUUGGAUUGCAUGAUUUGAUGUUUAAAGAUUUAUCGGACGAAGAUGGCCAUGCGUACCAUUAGCUGGUUGGUAAGGUAACGGCUUACCAAGGCAACGAUGGUUAGGGGCCCUGAGAGGGGGAUCCCCCACACUGGUACUGAGACACGGACCAGACUCCUACGGGAGGCAGCAGUGAGGAAUAUUGGACAAUGGAGGAGACUCUGAUCCAGCCAUGCCGCGUGCAGGAUGACGGCCCUAUGGGUUGUAAACUGCUUUUAUACGGGAAGAAAAAAGGGUACGUGUACCCUACUGACGGUACCGUAAGAAUAAGGACCGGCUAACUCCG